Long non-coding RNA from Falco peregrinus (peregrine falcon), 4155 nucleotides. RefSeq lists it as uncharacterized. Lineage: Eukaryota; Metazoa; Chordata; Aves; Falconiformes; Falconidae. The transcript is spliced from 2 exons. The record is from RefSeq and is a predicted model, not a curated record.
GUGGUGUGGUGGGUGAUGGCAGAGCUGGAAGGACUCUGGGCAGGAUUCCCCCCACAGCAGGCAGGGCCCUGGUCUUGCCUUGCCUGCGGUGGGCAGGGGACCCCUGCAGCACCCUGUUCCCGGGGAUGGACGUACCGAUGCCGCCAAAGGGCAGCGAGGACAAGAACUCAAACUACAGGACAGCUGGACAGGCUCGGACCCCUCUCCUCCCUGAGCAGGGCCGCCUCUUUGGUCAAAUUUGGAUUUCGACUACAUCAGAUGCUACCCAGGACAGUUGUGUCACCAAAAGCGCUGAACACUUAACCCCAGCCCGAUUUUUGCGGUAAGUGCGUUUAUCAUUGGCAAUCCUGAACUUGUACCUGUCACCUUAGUAAAUCUUCUCUUUUUUUCAACUUUGCGAAACUGUUUUGGUGGAAGUCCUUAAACUGGGCUCAGACAGGCAAACACUGGCUCUGGCGAGUCACCACGUAACCCCUCCGACCUGAACCCACCGAUGCAUCUGGGAGGAGAGGCUGAUCCCGCUGUGCCUGGACUCCUCUCCGAAGAAUUUGGAAAGCGAGGGGAUCCUUUCCAAAGCUCCUGGCUCAACGUGAGGGCUGUCCCCCCACCCUCCCAGCCACUCGUCAGGGUCUGAAUGCGACACGGCUGCAGCGACCGGCCCGUGGGCACGGCCACCAUGUUCCCUCCUGCCCCAGCAGCAAGUGGCCAAGCAGAGGGACCCCCUUCCCCAGCACAGCCAGCCCCCCAAGCUGGGGGGGAGCAGCACGGGUGAAGGAGCAACCUGGUGUGUCCCUCUACCCCGCCAGGGACUAAGCACUGUGCAGGGAUGUGUCCAACGGGAUUUUGUGCUGGAGAGGCAGUGGGUUGCGUCUGACCUGGAUUCUCCAUUUGCAGAGCACGGGGUGGGGGUAGCGGGAGGGGAGGAGCAGCUGGGAUGGAGGAACGGAGCCCAGAAACCCACCAGGAUGGAGCCGAAGCAGCCAGGACAGCGUGGUCAGGGGCUCUGGAGGACGGCACACCUGGAAAUGCUGCAGAAGGCUUCCCGUCCCUGCUGCACCUCACCUGUCCCUCUGCUCCAGACUCGGCUGCCUGUGCUGCGCGCCAGGAUCUCCGUGGGAUUGCCGAGAUUGCCAGCCCACAGGAGAUAAGGGAGAGCAAAUUGCAGGGCAUGGGGCAGAAGAAAUGGAUGGUUCCAGUCCAUGGAUUUGGGAGGAGCGUGUUGCUGUGGACUUUCUCAGGGGAGAGUCCCGUCUCUGUGGGAUUGCCAAGAUUGCCAGCCCACAGGAGAUAAGGGAGAGCAAAUUGCAGGGCAUGGGGCAGAGGAAAUGGAUGGUUCCAGUCCAUGGAUUUGGGAGGAGGGUGUUGCUGUGGACUUUCUUGGGGGAGAGUCCCCAAGGCAGGGGGUGCAGGCAUCCCCUGGACCACCCCCCACCCCACCUGCUCCCCUGCUGCGGUGGGGCUGGCAGGGAUGGAGCCAGAGGGUGAUGGCACUGGGAUGGAACCCAUCAAGGGGGCUGCAGGACCUGUGCAUGGGGAGAUGUGGGGCACAGGAGACAUGUUGGGCAGAGGGGCUCCCAAUGGGGCUCUGUCACAAAACUUCUGCCCCAGGUGCUGGCAGGUUCCACCUUCCUGCUGGCUUCACCCCUCCCUAGAUCUCUCCCUUCUGUUGGCCACGGCUCCAUCCCAUCUCCCGAUGGGCAGGGAGGUGGGAAGGAAGCACACGGGAGGUCACCGGUUGCAGGGAAGCACCUUUCAUUGCACAUGGCCACCACAACUACCGCGGCUGGCAGCAGGAGAUAUGGCAGGGGACCCUCAGAGCAGGGUGCGGGACCCUCAGGAUGUGGGACCCUCAGAGCAGGAUGCAGGCCCCCUUGCGCUUCACCUCGGAGGCAGCCCGGACGAUGCCCAGCUUCUGCCGGCUGUAGGGCGGGUAGCGCAGGCUGUUGAUGGCCUCCCGGCCCAUGCCGCGGUGCAGGCAGCCACGGUGGUGGCUGAAGGUUUCGAAGGUGAACUUGCCAUGGUACAUCCCCAAGCCGCUGCUCCCUGCAACACACAACACAGGUCCCCAGUUGGUGGCUGGGUCUGGCCAUCGCUUGCCCAUCAUUUGGGCUAACGAGGCCAAAAUUCAGCUCCCAGCGCCCAGAGGAUGCGGGGGCGAUGGAGGCUGCUUGUGUCUGUGGAUGGCACCACAUCUUCAUCCAGCUGCUUUCCACCAGGGUUGGCAGGGAGCGCUGGCCGUGGCCACUCUUCCCUUGAAAGCAAUCUAAAGGGGAUCAUGGAGGGGGGGCUAGGUGGCCACCCAAAUGAUGCUUGAGGGAUGUUUGGAGUGAGAAGACCAGGCUGGGAGGAGGAAAGGUUCCCCAUAACCCUCUCACCAGUCUGGAUUUCACCAGUUCAGGUGACACGUUUAGCGCCGGUGCAGAGCUCACCGCAUUAACCCGGGCCCAGAAAAAUCUUCAUGGAAUAAGAGUUCCACAAAACGUUGUGUUCCCACCAGGAGGGACUGCACCUUGAAGGAUUUCUGAGGAAACCAGCUGCAGGCUGGAGCCUUUCACGUCAUCCUGCUGCUUUGCGGGGAGGAUCUGCAGUGCCCCCACUUUGCUGGCAGAUGGGGGAGCGGAGGGACCAGGAAAGGCAGCACAUUCAGCGUGGUGUGGGGAGGCAAGAGCUCUGAUUGCUGCCCUCCCGUGCUCACCCUCCGGGGGGGAAGCAGCCUGGAACAGGUCCAUGCCCUUGAGGAUGCUGCGAGAUGUGUCCCCAUCUCCACUGAUGCUUAAGCAGCUAAAAUGCUCAGUAAAGACAAUUAGUCUUGUUUCUAUAUCUUCAGCUCUUUAGCAGGUGCUUCCCACAUCCCCUUUCAAGUUUCUGUUCUCUUUUUACUCUAAUUCAGAAAACUUUACUGCUUUUUUAAAAUAAAUAAAUAAAUAAAUAAAACUUUUUGAUCAUGAAACCUCUCCUGGUGCUAGAGCGACUGGGAAUCACCAAACUGAUGAUGUGGUGUUGGAGUGGGCAAGAUGCUGCUGCCAGAGUUGCUUCCCUACCACAGGGAUACCCUCCGAAACACAUAUCCCCCCCCCCCCCCCCCCCCCCCGCCCUGCUGGCUCCAGCCCCGCUGCAGGCAGAGCUCCUGGAGCAGGAAGCAGUGACAGUCUGACAGUCGAGGUGGCUUUGUGACAAUGUGACCCAUCUCCAAGGACUGAAGUGGCUGUUGGGAGGGGAAAGCUGGCUGGGCAGAACCAAGCAUGGGGAAGCCAGGCAGGCUGGCAGGAAACAAGGAAAUCCACUGGUGUGCUGAUAAGAGGUGUGAUGAAAUUCUGUGAGUCAGACUCCCUGAAGAAAUGCAAAUCCUGGUCAGUCCUGGGUUAUGUUUGGCACCUCACACGUCACCAGCCCCGGCACAGAGGAAGGUCACCGGGUGGCUUGGGUGGAGAAUAUGAGCUGGUUUUCCAUGGUAGUGAAGAUCAUCUAAUCAAGAGUGGGUAUCUCCAUCACCCAGCCCCCCUCUCCAAGGGAAGAGAGCAGCCCUUCUGAGCGUGUUUUGCCAGCCCAAGUGGACAUCCAGAACAGGGCAGAAGGGAUACAGCCCCGAAGUGCUGCUGCUGCCUGUGAGCUGUGCAACGCCAUGUCACAGGGCUGUCAUAGGAACCAAGUUUCCUUGGAUUCAAGGAGAGCCUGGGCCAGCACGCGGAGGCCAGCACCCUUCACCGAGCAUGCGGGGACCCUUCUGGCUUAGCAAACCAUCUGAGCUGGAAACAGAUGGAGGCUGGAAGACUUUCAGGAGUAAAGACUGUGGAUGCUUGCUCUGUUUGUAUUCAUGCAUCUGCAUAAGGUUGUGGUGGAAGAAUGCAGGACUAGGCACAGCUUUGUUCUGAAGCCUUUAAAAGAAUGCAAGUCUUGUUUUCCUGCUGAUGCUCCGGAUAGAAAACAUCCCGUGGGAGCUCAGAAUCAUGUACAUCAACUGAAACAUGAGCGCUACACAACUUACAGCUGAUGGUAGAAUCACAGAAUCUUUUUGGUUGAUAAAGACCUUUAAGACCAUUGAUUCAGAAUAAAAUUUAGACCUUUUUGGGGUCUGUGGGUUUACAAAAGCUUUGUGUGAAGCAACAUGGAGGACCAUCAGAAAUUGCACAUAUAAAUAAAUUUGCCUUAAAAAUA